CAUCCCCAGUCUCAAGGGGAAACCAGGACAAUGAGAACAGCCACUUGCCAUCAGGAGUCACUGAAGGGGCCCCAGGAUGGGAUGGUGGGGAGAUAAGAACCAUGAGAGAAGUUAGCACAAAGGAGUUAUGGGACAAAAGGUCCAAGAUAGGCAGAAAAGAAAAUGUUGCCAGUUGAUGGUGAAGAAAGGAAGUCAGAGGGCUCAGACACUGUGGGGGACAGAACAUCUCCGUGUGCACUCUCAUCUCUUGUAGUCAGCAACAGGUUUCCACAGGGAAGGCCCUACAUCAUCUGCUACCCUGAAAGAUCUGGAGAGCCCGUGCCAAGAACGAGCAGUAGUCCUGGAUUCAACGUCCGUAAAAAUCAGUCGACUGAAGAACACCAUCAAAUCUUUGAAACAACAGAAGAAACAAGUGGAACAUCAGCUGGAAGAAGAAAAGAAAGCAAACAACGAGAGACAGAAAGCUGAAAGGGAGCUAGAGGUUCAAAUCCAGACAUUGAUCAUACAGAAAGAGGAACUAAAUACGGACCUGUACCACAUGGAACGUUCUCUCAGAUACUUUGAAGGUGGGAAUCUGGGCACCCUGUCAUCC
Molecule: long non-coding RNA, 592 nt
Filed under: Pan troglodytes (chimpanzee)
Lineage: Eukaryota; Metazoa; Chordata; Mammalia; Primates; Hominidae
Description: lncRNA (ENSPTRG00000053153.1)
Source: RNAcentral